AUUGAACGCUGGCGGAAUGCUUUACACAUGCAAGUCGAACGGCAGCACGGGGGCAACCCUGGUGGCGAGUGGCGAACGGGUGAGUAAUACAUCGGAACGUGCCCGGUCGUGGGGGAUAACGUAGCGAAAGUUACGCUAAUACCGCAUACGAUCUGAGGAUGAAAGCGGGGGACCUUCGGGCCUCGCGCGAUCGGAGCGGCCGAUGUCAGAUUAGGUAGUCGGUGGGGUAAAGGCCUACCAAGCCGACGAUCUGUAGCUGGUCUGAGAGGACGACCAGCCACACUGGGACUGAGACACGGCCCAGACUCCUACGGGAGGCAGCAGUGGGGAAUUUUGGACAAUGGGCGCAAGCCUGAUCCAGCCAUUCCGCGUGCAGGACGAAGGCCUUCGGGUUGUAAACUGCUUUUGUAUGGAACGAAAAGGCUCUGGCUAAUACCUGGGGCUCAUGACGGUACCGUAAGAAUAAGCACCGGCUAACUACGUG
Molecule: ribosomal RNA, 484 nt
Filed under: uncultured bacterium
Lineage: Bacteria
Description: partial 16S ribosomal RNA
Rfam family: Bacterial small subunit ribosomal RNA
Source: RNAcentral